UUCUCGAGGGUGCUGUCGUCGCGGGCCUGCUUGGUGAUGGAGCGCUUGAACAUCGGCUCCACGUCGAGCGUGACCGUGGAUAUGGCUCCAAGGACGCCAAUAGACAGCUUGGCUGCAUUCAGGUCCGGGCUUGAUUUCCCAAGUUUGAUGACUUUGGCAUAGCCUUGCUCCCUUGAUGCAGGAACGACGAUAGUGAUUCCGGAGACAUAGUCAUGCACUGCUCCACCUUUCCCAAGCAGACUGCUGCCGUGCGAGCCCGUGCUUAUUACUCCGGCGAUUGAUAGACCGUUGAAGUAAGGCGUACA
RNAcentral lists this long non-coding RNA (305 nucleotides) under Selaginella moellendorffii. RNAcentral describes it as "long non-coding RNA (SMOE_LNC002040)". Lineage: Eukaryota; Viridiplantae; Streptophyta; Lycopodiopsida; Selaginellales; Selaginellaceae. The record is from RNAcentral.